This 134-nucleotide microRNA precursor is filed under the name Myotis lucifugus (little brown bat). RNAcentral describes it as "miRNA (ENSMLUG00000020304.2)". Lineage: Eukaryota; Metazoa; Chordata; Mammalia; Chiroptera; Vespertilionidae. The record is from RNAcentral.
CCCAGUCAAAUUUGAUUUCAGAUAAACAAUGAAUAAUUUUUAGUGUAAGCAUUCCCCAUGAAAUAUUUGGGACAUAUUUAUUCUAAAAAUAAUUUUCAUUUAUCUAAAAUUCAAAUUUAACUGGGUGUCCUAUA